CAUGCUGUAAACGUUGGGCACUAGGUGUGGGGGCCGCCCUUGGUUUCCGCGCCGUAGCUAACGCUUUAAGUGCCCCGCCUGGGGAGUACGGCCGCAAGGCUAAAACUCAAAGGAAUUGACGGGGGCCCGCACAAGCGGCGGAGCAUGCGGAUUAAUUCGAUGCAACGCGAAGAACCUUACCAAGGCUUGACAUGCACCCUGGGUGGCCUGAGAGGGUCGCGCAUUUGGUUGGGGGUGUGCAGGUGG
This 246-nucleotide ribosomal RNA is filed under the name uncultured bacterium. RNAcentral's name for it is "partial 16S ribosomal RNA". It matches the Rfam family "Bacterial small subunit ribosomal RNA", at positions 796 to 1041 of the family's 1533-position model. The record is from RNAcentral.